UCAAUAUUUCUCCACGUCAUCGAUCCCCGUCGUUCAAGAUCCAACGGUAUUCAUCACAAGAAGACAAAAACGUCUCAAACCACAAUGGUCGAACCCACUUGAACCCUAGCGCAGAACCGGUUCGCCCCAUAGCGAGGUUUAUCCUCUAUUUGCCUGCCCUAACCAGUAAACAAUAGAGAGAGAAAAUUAUAAAACAGAGCUAGAGAGAGAAACCAAACCCAAAAAUCUGCAAAAACCAGUGUAUUCGAAAUUCCACACUACAAUUUCAAUCUCUUCGUUCCUCUUCCACAGCCGUUGAUUUCAAUUUUCAAUUUCGUUCAUCGUAUUCCCCAUACACGAAAACACGUUAGGGUUCCGUUACAGCUUACGAAUUCAUUCAUAGCAGAAAUUUCUGACAAGAAUUUCCACUUCGUUCAAAUUCGUGUGCUAGAUUAAAGGUGUAAUCCAAAGCGCGUGUUUUUUUUGGUUUGCGGUUUUGUAUGAGAUAUAGGAUUUCGUAUUUGAUGGACGAGAUCUGGGAGAGGGCUGUGGAAACGGCGUUAGAAGGCGAGAAAGACCACGCCUCUGCUCGAACGUUAACCCUUGACGGCGCCGUUAAGUGUGUACAAGGACGUUUACCUCCUCCGAGCCUUCUUGAAAGGUUCCAGAACCUUCAGCACCUUUCGAUUGCAAACGUUGGUGUUUCUUCUCUGGAGCAGUUCCCGAGGCUCCGGAGUCUUCAGAAGUUGAACCUCUCCGACAACCGGAUCGCCGGAGGACUUGAGUUUUUGGUUCAAGCGGGGCUCGAUUCGCUGCGUGACCUCGAUCUAUCCAAUAAUAGGAUUCAGUCGAUCGAGGAUCUUGCUCCGUUAGCGCAGUUGAAGCUUGUUUCGUUGGAUCUGUAUGAGUGUCCUGUUACUCGUGUUAAGGACUAUCGAUCUAGGGUUUUUGGUUUGAUUAAGUCGCUUAAGUUCUUGGAUAAGAUGGAUGCGGAGGAGAAUGAGAGGCCGGAGUCCGAUGAGGAGGAGGAGGAUGAAGAGGAGGAAGAAGAGGAGGAGGAUCCUGGGAGUGGUGAGAUUGAUGGAGGCGAAGAAGAUCGACAGUUUGGGAUGAGCAAUGGUCAUAGUGAGGGUGUUGAUGGAGUUGUUGAUGCUGAUGAGGAAGAUGAGAGUGAUGCGGAUGAGGAGGUGACCGAGACUUCAAGAGGGAGGGUGAAUGGGUUGAACCAUCAGGAGAAUGGGUUCCAUGUUGCCCCUGCUGUGGGUGAUGAUGUGGAGGAGGAAGAUGAUGAUGAUGACGACGAUGAUGAUGAUUCUGGUGAAGAGAUUGAUGAGGAGGAGGGUGAUGAUGAUGAUGUGGUUGAGGUUCAUGAGAUUGAUGAUAGUGAUGACGACGAUGAUGGGGUCGAGUUUGAUGAGGAUGAUGACAAUGAUGAUGAUGAUGAAGAGGUUGAUAACGAUGAAGGGGAUUUUGCUGAACCCGAGAGUACUUCUGGACGGUUGGUGAGUACUGAAGGUGAGAUCGAUGGGCACGAGCAAGGGGAGGAAGAUGGAGACGAAGAUGACAACGGGGAGACUGGUGAAGAUGAGAUGGGAGUAGAAGAAGAAGAUGAUGACGAUGAUGAUGGAGAGUUUGAAGAUGAUGAUGAAGAAGAAGACUGUGGUGCUGGAUAUCUUGUUCAGCCAGUUGGACAGGCUGAGGCUCUCAAUGAUGAUGCUGCUGACAUUUUCGAAGUGGAAAACGAGGAUGGUGAAGAGGAGGAGGAAGUUGACGAUGAGGAGGACGACGAUGUUCAGGAGGUGUUGCCUCCUGCCUCUUCACACCCCAAGAGGAAGAGGGACAAUGAUGGUGAAGAUGACGAGGAGGAUGAAGAUGAAGCAGCACUGACAAAGCCAUCCAAGAAGCACCAUUGACGACACACCAUUAUAAAUUAUAUCAUGUUCUUGUUCUGUGAUGACUUUCCAUGUAUUGGAAGCAGAGAAACCUCAGUUUAGAUAUAGAACAAUGGUGUGUUUGGCUUGUAAAAAGGAGCUUGCUUGGUGAUUCUUGGAGGGAAGCAAAGGGUGCGAACCUUUUAAAAUUUUCCCAAACCUCUAGUUUAAUGGAAGCACUUUUUGGCGGCAGAAAAAGGAAAAACUUGCAAAACAAAUGUAGAUAUAUGAAAAUGAUUCCUAUCAAGCAAGUUGGGUGCCAUUGUAAUGACGUGGCCAGUUCAUAAAUUAUUGCCAUUGAUUGUUACGUGGAUUUAUUCCAGUUUCUAUCUUAUAAAUUUAUUGAGCUUGAUGCCAAUAUAAAUAGGAAAAAAGAAAUCUUGGUCACGUCGUAAUAGUCAAUUGCCAAGUAAUGUUCCAAUGGGCCCCUCGAUAUAACUAUGCACGAUUUUGUAUAUCCUUGAGUAUUUAAGCAUCCAUCCAACAAAGCAAUUCUCAUCGAUCAAGCAUAUCUUAAUCUUACAACACGCCACGUGGUUUAAUCAGCUUAUAUUUAUCAUCAACUGAACGGAGCAAGCGGGAAAGUUCGGGUGGCACACACGCAGGUCCAUGCGCGUAGCAAUGACAUCAGGCCUGCUUGAGCGGCGGACUUCUUUUGAUUUAGUGGGGAGCUCCUGUCCAUGAGAAUUCCUUGAGUGGCACAUCACAAAAACCUGCCUUGUAUCACGGGGUUAUAUGCAUGCACACAAACUUACACUGUUUGUAAUUAAUUAUUUAUUAUUAAAAAACGUGUUCAAAUAAA
This is an RNA transcript of Lathyrus oleraceus (garden pea), 2712 nucleotides long. It is a transcript of the gene named acidic leucine-rich nuclear phosphoprotein 32-related protein, with no coding region annotated. The transcript is spliced from 4 exons. The record is from RefSeq and is a predicted model, not a curated record. Lineage: Eukaryota; Viridiplantae; Streptophyta; Magnoliopsida; Fabales; Fabaceae.